GACGAACGCUGGCGGCGUGCUUAACACAUGCAAGUCGAACGGUAAGGCCCUUCGGGGUACACGAGUGGCGAACGGGUGAGUAACACGUGGGUGAUCUGCCCUGCACUUCGGGAUAAGCCUGGGAAACUGGGUCUAAUACCGGAUAGGACUCCGGACUGCAUGGUCUGGGGUGGAAAGCUUUUGCGGUGUGGGAUGGGCCCGCGGCCUAUCAGCUUGUUGGUGGGGUGAUGGCCUACCAAGGCGACGACGGGUAGCCGGCCUGGGAGGGUGACCGGCCACACGGGGACUGAGAUACGGCCCAGACUCCUACGGGAGGCAGCAGUGGGGAAUAUUGCACAAUGGGCGCAAGCCUGAUGCAGCGACGCCGCGUGAGGGAUGACGGCCUUCGGGUUGUAAACCUCUUUCAGCAUCGACGAAGCGAAAGUGACGGUAGGUGCAGAAGAAGGACCGGCCAACUACGUGCCAGCAGCCGCGGUAA
RNAcentral lists this ribosomal RNA (478 nucleotides) under uncultured bacterium. RNAcentral describes it as "partial 16S ribosomal RNA". It matches the Rfam family "Bacterial small subunit ribosomal RNA", at positions 28 to 523 of the family's 1533-position model. The record is from RNAcentral.